AGACAGGCUCUAUUCAGAGCCCUUCAUACAAAUUCACACAUUUAAU
Non-coding RNA from Pongo abelii (Sumatran orangutan), 46 nucleotides. The record is from Rfam. NCBI's taxonomy places the organism in Eukaryota, Metazoa, Chordata, Mammalia, Primates, Hominidae.